AUUGAACGCUGGCGGCAUGCCUUACACAUGCAAGUCGAACGGCAGCGCGGACUUCGGUCUGGCGGCGAGUGGCGAACGGGUGAGUAAUACAUCGGAACGUACCCUGUUGUGGGGGAUAACUAGUCGAAAGAUAAGCUAAUACCGCAUACGACCUGAGGGUGAAAGUGGGGGACCGCAAGGCCUCACGCAGCAGGAGCGGCCGAUGUCUGAUUAGCUAGUUGGUGGGGUAAAGGCCCACCAAGGCGACGAUCAGUAGCUAGUCUGAGAGGACGAUCAGCCACACUGGGACUGAGACACGGCCCAGACUCCUACGGGAGGCAGCAGUGGGGAAUUUUGGACAAUGGGGGCAACCCUGAUCCAGCAAUGCCGCGUGUGUGAAGAAGGCCUUCGGGUUGUAAAGCACUUUUGUCCGGAAAGAAAUCGCGCUGGUUAAUACCUGGCGUGGAUGACGGUACCGGAAGAAUAAGCACCGGCUAACUACGUG
Molecule: ribosomal RNA, 484 nt
Filed under: uncultured bacterium
Lineage: Bacteria
Description: partial 16S ribosomal RNA
Rfam family: Bacterial small subunit ribosomal RNA
Source: RNAcentral